GACGAACGCUGGCGGCGUGCUUAACGCAUGCAAGUCGAACGGAAAGGCCCUGCUUUUGUGGGGUGCUCGAGUGGCGAACGGGUGAGUAACACGUGAGUAACCUGCCCUUGACUUUGGGAUAACUUCAGGAAACUGGGGCUAAUACCGGAUAGGAGCUCCUGCUGCAUGGUGGGGGUUGGAAAGUUUCGGCGGUUGGGGAUGGACUCGCGGCUUAUCAGCUUGUUGGUGGGGUAGUGGCUUACCAAGGCUUUGACGGGUAGCCGGCCUGAGAGGGUGACCGGCCACAUUGGGACUGAGAUACGGCCCAGACUCCUACGGGAGGCAGCAGUGGGGAAUAUUGCACAAUGGGCGGAAGCCUGAUGCAGCAACGCCGCGUGCGGGAUGACGGCCUUCGGGUUGUAAACCGCCUUCGCCUGUGACGAAGCGUGAGUGACGGUACUGGGUAAAGAAGCACCGGCUAACUACGUG
RNAcentral lists this ribosomal RNA (468 nucleotides) under uncultured bacterium. RNAcentral's name for it is "partial 16S ribosomal RNA". It matches the Rfam family "Bacterial small subunit ribosomal RNA", at positions 28 to 507 of the family's 1533-position model. The record is from RNAcentral.